This 497-nucleotide ribosomal RNA is filed under the name uncultured bacterium. RNAcentral describes it as "partial 16S ribosomal RNA". It matches the Rfam family "Bacterial small subunit ribosomal RNA", at positions 28 to 507 of the family's 1533-position model. The record is from RNAcentral.
GAUGAACGCUGGCGGCGUGCCUAAUACAUGCAAGUCGAGCGAACAGACGAGGAGCUUGCUCCUCUGACGUUAGCGGCGGACGGGUGAGUAACACGUGGAUAACCUACCUAUAAGACUGGGAUAACUUCGGGAAACCGGAGCUAAUACCGGAUAAUAUAUUGAACCGCAUGGUUAAAUAGUGAAAGACGGUUUUGCUGUCACUUAUAGAUGGAUCCGCGCCGCAUUAGCUAGUUGGUAAGGUAACGGCUUACCAAGGCGACGAUGCGUAGCCGACCUGAGAGGGUGAUCGGCCACACUGGAACUGAGACACGGUCCAGACUCCUACGGGAGGCAGCAGUAGGGAAGCUUCCGCAAUGGGCGAAAGCCUGACGGAGCAACGCCGCGUGAGUGAUGAAGGUCUUCGGAUCGUAAAACUCUGUUAUUAGGGAAGAACAAAUGUGUAAGUAACUAUGCACGUCUUGACGGUACCUAAUCAGAAAGCCGCGGCUAACUACGUG